CUUAGCAGCGAACGUGUGAGUAACACGUAGAUAAUCUAUCCUAUACUGGGGGAUAGCCCGAUGAAAGUUGGAUUAAUACCGCAUAUAGCUAUAUAGUUGCAUGAUUAUGUAGUGAAAGAUUUAUUGGUAUAGGAGGAGUCUGCGGCACAUUAGCUAGUAGGUGAGGUAAAGGCUUACCUAGGCGACGAUGUGUAGCCGGUCUGAGAGGAUGAACGGCCACAAUGGAACUGAGACACGGUCCAUACUCCUACGGGAGGCAGCAGUGGGGAAUAUUGCACAAUGGGGGAAACCCUGAUGCAGCAACGCCGCGUGAGUGAAGAAGGUUUUCGGAUUGUAAAGCUCUGUUAGCAGGGAAGAGGAAGGACGGUACCUGCAGAGGAAGCCACGGCUAACUACGUGCCAGCAGCCGCGGUAAUACGUAGGUGGCAAGCGUUGUUCGGAAUAACUGGGCGUAAAGGAUGCGUAGGCGGUUAAACAAGUUAUAUGUUAAAUAUAUAGGCUUAACCUGUAGAAAGCAUAUAAAACUGUUUAACUAGAGUGCAGGAGAGGUAAGUGGAAUUCCUAGUGUAGCGGUGAAAUGCGUAGAGAUUAGGAAGAACACCAGUGGCGAAGGCGACUUACUGGACUGUAACUGACGCUGAGGCAUGAGAGCAUGGGGAGCAAACAGGAUUAGAUACCCUGGUAGUCCAUGCUGUAAACGAUGGGUACUAGGUGUGGGUUGUGAAUAACAAUUCGUGCCGUCGCAAACGCAAUAAGUACCCCGCCUG
This 767-nucleotide ribosomal RNA is filed under the name uncultured bacterium. RNAcentral describes it as "bacterial SSU rRNA". It matches the Rfam family "Bacterial small subunit ribosomal RNA", at positions 91 to 875 of the family's 1533-position model. The record is from RNAcentral.